Molecule: non-coding RNA, 3277 nt
Organism: Callorhinus ursinus (northern fur seal)
Lineage: Eukaryota; Metazoa; Chordata; Mammalia; Carnivora; Otariidae
Source: RefSeq, a predicted model, not a curated record
CAAAUGUCCUGAGGUGGGGAGGGACAAGCUUCUCAAGGACCAGUAAGGAGAUCAGCUCACUGCUGGAACAGAGUGGAGGCAGAGUGUGGAGGUCAGUAAGUGAACUUGGUGCAGGGAAGGUCACACAGGACCUCAUGAACCAUAGAGAGGAGUGCGGUUUCUGUUCUCAUCAUUGAUGUAUUUUUAGCAGGGGUAGGUCCACCAUCUGAUUCUUGGGUGUUGUUUGGAGGAUGGGCAGUUGGGGGGAUGGUAAAGUGGAUCUUUGAUCUCAGGUCUCUAUAAUACAUCAUUUAACAUUCAAGAGGUGUCUGUUGAGUUCUGAGCAAGUAUAGACUUUAUGUGCAGCGUAUUUUCAUCUGUGUACAUAAGAUGUACCUAUGUGCCUUUAUAUGUGGAGAAUAUCAUUAGAAGGAGACAUUAAAAAAGUGGGGAGGGGAACAGAGAUUUUCAAGUGAGGGAGAGACUGUCUUUUCAUACUUUGUGCUGUUUGAAUUUAAAAAAAUGUGGUUUUGAUUAUCAUUAAUACAGUUAAAAACUCUUUAAUCUAAAAAAAAAAACCGGAUCGUUUGAUGCAGGGUGGAGGUGUGUUUGUGUGUGGAGGGGAGGUUGGUGCAAUCUGGGGAAGGGUGGGGUGAGGCCUCAGAAGGACAUGGACCCAAGGAAGGGAGAGGAGGGGCCAGGCUUAAGAAAUUCUAUAAGUCAACAGGAUGUGGGGCUGUGGAGUGGGCAGGGCCAAGGUGAUUCUGAGGUUUGCAGUCUGAAGAUGCUGUAACCUAGAUGUGAGGCCCAGAAAGCCCUACUUCCUGUAAAUGGGGUGACCGCCAUGGCAGUGGGGCCCUGGAAUUGUACCCCAAAAUGUCAGGGGGCAGGCAGCCUGCAUGGUGAGUUCAAGGAGAGAGGAAGGAGGUGGAAGCCCCAAUUCCUCUUCGGCACCAGGAAAUGCCCAGUUGAUGAGCCCGACUGAGCUCAUCCAGCGCCUCGGACACUUAAACAUACUGGCUGUCUCAGGUGCGCUCUGUUCGGUAUACCCCUGCCAUGGACGAGUCUGGCAAACAGCUCACCCAGGUGACUGAGGGAGAGGUUCAGGUCCUGGAUGAAGAUGUGGACGGAGCCUUUGGGGAUCCAGACGACUUCCUCAUACCCUGGACGGUGGAGCUCAGAUGUCGCCCACUUGACCCUUCCCCCACACCUUCCUACCUCCCCCAUUCCUGGCCCUUGAUGAUAACAGCUAACCAUUACUGCACUAAGUGCUUCCAGGGACAUCACACUGCGUCCCCAGCUCUGGCCCUGUGAUGUAGAUGUGUCAUCACGCCCAUUUUACAGACAACAAGACUGAAGCUCAGAGAAGCUAAGCAACUUGCCCAGGCGCUGCCGUCACCACCGCAAACCCGGCACUUGUCCUCUCUCAGGAGUCCCCUCCACCUUGCACUCGCCGCUGACGCAAAUGUCCACCGUGUCGGGGCGGCAGGGCGUCCCGUCCACCACGGCCGCCGCUCUCUCCGUGUAGAAAUUGAAGCCUUCGGCCAGGCAUAAGCUGUCCAGGGACUUCCCGGCAUGACUCGAGUCCUGGAAAAGUUUGGCAACCUGACCUCCAAGAAACAAGAGAGACCGAGUCUUAAGAGGGGCCCAGAGCAAGAGACAAAAAGCGAAACAAUGGCAACAACUCUCCUUCACCAAGUAUCUCCUGUGUGCCGGGCCUCGGGCUAAGCCUGCUGUGCAGAUCUUCGCACGAGUAGAUCCAAUUAUCAUUUCCGUUUUACAGAGGGGCAGAUUGACACACAGAGAGAUUAGGACACACAGCGGGUAAGGUGCCACAAGUGGGCUUCGUGUCUGGGUAAGGCUGCCUACAAAGCGCUGGUUGCUUACCAGUACAUUUCUUUCUGACUCACCCUCAUUCGGCUUGUCUAUUUGUCCUCCAUCCCUACCCACCCCUGCAGCAGCCUCAAGUGUCUCUGCCCAGAGGCGGCCUGAGGGAGUACACAUUUGGUCUCAUUCCACGGCUGUCUGAAGCAGAUGCUUACGCAGCCCCUACCACGUGCCGGGUACUCUUCCAUACACUAUGUCGAUUCACCGCAACCACCUGCGCCUUGUGAAGGAGGUACUAUUACUAUCCCCAUUUUAUGGGUGGGUAAACCGAGGCACAGAGGGGCAGUGACUGGUCCAAGGGCACACGGCUAAAAAGCAGCAGAGCCGAGAUUUCGGCCGGGCCCUGCAGGCUGCCGGGUUCACGCUCCUGGCCGCCCAGCGAGGCUGCUUCUCCUCAUUCCUUGCCAGACACCGGCCACCCUUCUCACCCCGCCCCCUCCAUUCGGGUUCCCUGACCUCAGGAGGCCGGCUCCAGGUCCCGGGGCUCUGCGGCCAGGGAGGGGGAGGCACUUACAAUGUUCAUGAUGGCCAGCACGUACUGUUCCACGUCUCGGCGCCCGUGGUAGGCCACCAUCAUCUUGUCAGCCACCACCAGGGUCUCCACGUAGCGCUCUCGGCUGACCGAGCGCUUCAGGCCUGGCUGGCCACGCUCAGUCUCAUUCCCCAGGGGCCUGGCAGGUGGCGGCUUCAGCGUGCGCAGCCACCACGGCCGCCCCUUCCACGGCUUCUCGUCUGGAUGGACAAUUUCUGGUCAUUCUACUGCCUACUCUUAUGUCCACGACCGACCCUGUCUGGCGGCGCAUCUGCCCCCUAGGCCGUCACACCACUCAUGCUUCGGCUACUGGGUGUCCUGGUUGUGCAACGUCUGGCUGUACAACAGUCCGCUACCCAGAUGAUGGGCUCCACGCCGUCACACUGGUUGGUUUGCACAGCCGCCCCGGGCCCCACGACAACCAGCAAGACCGCGCCACUUCCUGAAAAUUCCAUUGCCCAAAUGUAGGCGUGGAGCCGCCCGCCUCAGCAUGGGAACGUGUGCCAGUGGGACUCUGUGGCCCUCCGACCAUGCCACGUUCUUGUCAACGCACUGCCCAGCUGGGCAGCUGGAGGACACCCCACUGCCGGGGGGUCUAACUGCCCAACCAGUCUCACUGGCCGUCCGACUGUGAAACUACCCACCCUUCCGUUCGUACAACCGGCUGUGGUUUUAGGUCCCACUCCCAGAUGGUUGGAUUGCACACCUCAUGUCACAUCCCAGGGCUCCGAACUUGUCCCUGCAGCUGAACGACGGCCCUUAUAAAUAUCUAUCUCAUCCAGCUUUCUUAUCCCCCCACCCCCUGCACGUCUGAUCAGACCCCUGUCCUCCUGCAACUCUGGUUGUAAAUCGGACCUUCUGAACAGGGUUUGCACUGUA